UUAUUCUGCCCAGAAUAAUACAUUUCUGGGCAGAAAUUGAUUGUUUAACUGAUCAACAGCAGACUGAUCUGCUGCAGUCAGUCAGAGCAUUUCCAUAGAGUCACUUUGCAUCAGCAGCUCCAUGCUCCAGUGCUCUGGGAGAGUUUAUAGUCCUGACAGUUGAACACUGGAUGACUCUGUGUCUGACAACUGACAGCUGUCCUUCAUCACAACAGAAGACACAGAAAUCCUCUUCAUCAAAAACAUGACUUUGAUCUGCAUCCUCAUCUGGACUCUCCUCUGCUGUUGCUUCACAGAGGUCAGAGGUCAGGUCACAGUGACUCAGCAGCCUGUAGCAGUGAGAGCUGAUCUGGGAAGAUCUAUCAGCAUCAACUGUAGAACCAGUCAGAAUGUUUAUGUGGACAGCAAUGGCCACCGUUUAGCCUGGUACCAACAGAAAGAUGGACAAACUCCUAAGCUUCUCAUUUAUUUUUCUAGCACUCGAGCAUCAGGGACUCCAAGUCGUUUUACAGGCAGUGGAUCAAACUCUGACUUCACUCUGACCAUCAGUGGAGUUCAGGCUGAAGAUGCUGGAGUUUAUUACUGUCAGAGUGCUCACCACAUCAACAGCAAGUGGACGGGUCUGAUACAGUUCACUGAUCCCCCCUCUCCAUCCUGCAUACACUUGUUGAGAUCAGCAGAUCUUCUUUUAUCAUCUCCUUCCAUGAGGAAACUGAUAGUCUAGGCAAUUUCCUCCUUGACUACAGAAGCAGCAUCGAGUUGACACUGCUAAGGUGCAGCUGCCUUCAAUCACCAUCUUCCCAUAAAUACUCAGGAUUUACAUCCACUCAUUGCCAGAUCAAAUGAUUUCACUUCAUACAAAG
Non-coding RNA from Xiphophorus maculatus (southern platyfish), 863 nucleotides. Lineage: Eukaryota; Metazoa; Chordata; Actinopteri; Cyprinodontiformes; Poeciliidae. The record is from the annotation of a RefSeq genome assembly.